CAUGAGCAGCAAGCUAGGGAAAUUAUUGUAUUUUUUAUUGUUCUUCUCAUAAGCUUCUCUAAUUUGCAAAACAAACCUCCUUCAUCCUGUUUCCAGUUUUUCCACCGUAUUUUUCUUCUGCUCUCAUUCAACUUAUACACUGAUUUAAUUUGAAAACUAUCUCAAGCAAAGGAAGAAUUUGUGGCCUUUAAAUCCAAAUUCGAGCUUAUCACCUCUUUGCUACUCGGGUAAAUUUAUCUUACACAAAGGAACGUCGGGCCUAAGUGGGACCCCUCCAUUUCGGUGGCAACCCGGAAGAUCGUUGCGGCAACGAUGGCUGGUAACCAGAACUACCCUGACGGUGGCACUGGCCAUGAAAAUAAUAGAGUAUCUUUAAUUGCGGCUCUGGAUAUUCUUAUGAUCUAUAUUUGUUUAAGAUUUACAUUUCUACAUUUUUAUGUAGCUGCUGCUCGUGUCUAUCUAUCCCCGUUUAGUGCUGGCAUUAUAUUUCGUUGUUAUACCCCCUACUGGACAUUCGCUCACCCGGUUUUGUUUUGUUUUCCCCCCACAGAGUACGGAGAGAAGUCGCAAUAGUAAGCCAGGCGGAGCUUACGGCAGGCUUUAUCCCUUGGAAAGUUAGUAUUUUGUAAGCUUAUAUGAUAUUGUAUAUCACAGGGCUAUACGGGGAAGUUUUCUUGUUUUAUUUCAUGUCAAUUUGAUUACAUUUUGCUGUUUUAAAUACAUGGGAUCUUGUACAGACUCUAUGUGUUUUGUAAAUGAAACUUGGUGGUGAAAUGAAGGGAAGGUCUGACCUUUAGGUGUCUAAAGAACCGGA
Molecule: long non-coding RNA, 814 nt
Organism: Papaver somniferum (opium poppy)
Lineage: Eukaryota; Viridiplantae; Streptophyta; Magnoliopsida; Ranunculales; Papaveraceae
Exons: 2
Source: RefSeq, a predicted model, not a curated record